This 232-nucleotide unclassified non-coding RNA is filed under the name Hevea brasiliensis (rubber tree). Lineage: Eukaryota; Viridiplantae; Streptophyta; Magnoliopsida; Malpighiales; Euphorbiaceae. The record is from RNAcentral.
CAAAAUGGGGUUGCCGAACGAAAUAAUAGUCAUCUAGUUGAGACUGCCCGCAUUUUACUCAUUCACCAUAAUGUUCCCCUUCGUUUUUAGGAGAUGCUAUUUUUACUGCUUGUUACUUAAUUACCCGAAUGCCUUCUUCUAUUUUCUAGAAUCAGAGUCCUCAUCCCAUUUUGUUUCUCGACCAAGAUGCUCAUCAAUUGUCCCUGCAUGUAUUUGGUUGUAUUUAUUUUGU